AAGAUGGCAUCAUGAGUCCGCAUGUUCACAUGAUUAAAGGUAUUCCGGUAGACGAUGGGGAUGCGUUCCAUUAGAUAGUAGGCGGGGUAACGGCCCACCUAGUCUUCGAUGGAUAGGGGUUCUGAGAGGAAGGUCCCCCACAUUGGAACUGAGACACGGUCCAAACUCCUACGGGAGGCAGCAGUGAGGAAUAUUGGUCAAUGGGCGAGAGCCUGAACCAGCCAAGUAGCGUGAAGGAUGACUGCCCUAUGGGUUGUAAACUUCUUUUAUAAAGGAAUAAAGUCGGGUAUGGAUACCCGUUUGCAUGUACUUUAUGAAUAAGGAUCGGCUAACUCCGUGCCAGCAGCCGCGGUAAUACGGAGGAUCCGAGCGUUAUCCGGAUUUAUUGGGUUUAAAGGGAGCGUAGAUGGAUGUUUAAGUCAGUUGUGAAAGUUUGCGGCUCAACCGUAAAAUUGCAGUUGAUACUGGAUAUCUUGAGUGCAGUUGAGGCAGGCGGAAUUCGUGGUGUAGCGGUGAAAUGCUUAGAUAUCACGAAGAACUCCGAUUGCGAAGGCAGCCUGCUAAGCUGCAACUGACAUUG
RNAcentral lists this ribosomal RNA (580 nucleotides) under uncultured Bacteroidales bacterium. Its description in RNAcentral is "bacterial SSU rRNA". It matches the Rfam family "Bacterial small subunit ribosomal RNA", at positions 170 to 748 of the family's 1533-position model. The record is from RNAcentral. Lineage: Bacteria; Pseudomonadati; Bacteroidota; Bacteroidia; Bacteroidales.